GCACUACUGAAGAGUCCCAUAAUAGGACGAAACGACUGUUCAAUGC
Molecule: non-coding RNA, 46 nt
Organism: Schistosoma rodhaini
Lineage: Eukaryota; Metazoa; Platyhelminthes; Trematoda; Strigeidida; Schistosomatidae
Source: Rfam